Molecule: ribosomal RNA, 548 nt
Filed under: uncultured Glomeromycotina
Lineage: Eukaryota; Fungi; Glomeromycota
Description: SSU rRNA
Rfam family: Eukaryotic small subunit ribosomal RNA
Source: RNAcentral
UUGGAGGGCAAGUCUGGUGCCAGCAGCCGCGGUAAUUCCAGCUCCAAUAGCGUAUAUUAAAGUUGCUGCAGUUAAAAAGCUCGUAGUUGAAUUUCGGGACCAUCAUGUCGGUCGUGCUUCGGUACGUACUGGCAUUGUUGGUUUCUACCUUCUGACGAACCAUGAUGUCAUUUAUUUGGUGUCGUGGGAAAUCAGGACUGUUACUUUGAAAAAAUUAGAGUGUUUAAAGCAGGCUCACGCUUGAAUACAUUAGCAUGGAAUAAUGAAAUAGGACGUUUGAUUCUAUUUAGUUGGUUUCUAGGAUCGACGUAAUGAUUAAUAGGGAUAGUUGGGGGCAUUAGUAUUCAAUUGUCAGAGGUGAAAUUCUUGGAUUUAUUGAAGACUAACUACUGCGAAAGCAUUUGCCAAGGAUGUUUUCAUUAAUCAAGAACGAAAGUUAGGGGAUCGAAGACGAUCAGAUACCGUCGUAGUCUUAACCAUAAACUAUGCCGACUAGGGAUCGGAUGAUGUUAAUUUUUUAAUGACUCAUUCGGCGCCUUACGGGAAAC